AAGUCGUAACAAGGUUUCCGUAGGUGAACCUGCGGAAGGAUCAUUAACACGUAUCCACGUAUCAACCCCUAGUGUCACGAGUGCGCGCUGUUUACGGCGCGUGCUCAGUUUUCUCUUUCGUUUUCUCCACAAUGAAUUUUAACCACUUGAACCCAUCAGACUAAAAAAUUACUUCGUGCUUUUUUUGCGCUUGCGCAAAAAAAACCGAAACAAUAAAAUAACAAGAAACAACUCUUAGCGACGGAUUUCUUGGCUCCC
Molecule: unclassified non-coding RNA, 258 nt
Filed under: fungal sp.
Lineage: Eukaryota; Fungi
Description: partial internal transcribed spacer region
Rfam family: Eukaryotic small subunit ribosomal RNA (bases 1-46)
Source: RNAcentral